UGUGUGUGUGCGUGUGUGUGUGUGUGUGUGUGUGUGUGUAGUGGUUUUGCUUCUCUGAUUGAACCCUAUAUGAUACAGAAUUUGACAUCAGAAGUUUCCAGAUCAAAUAUGCAAAUUCCUAUGAAUUUUUUAAACAAUUUAUUGAGGUUUAAUUGACAUACAUAUCAAUUUUUCAUUCAUCCAACAUUCAACAAAUAUUAUGUCAAGCCUCUUCGAUACCUCUAUUCAUCUAGUCUUUUUAUUUUCAAUAAAGACUAUUUCUUUAAAAGUAUGACUAAGUGUGGUUUAACUUUUGAUAUUUUUGAAAGACCUUUAAAUAAAUAGAUGUGAAACUAAAUUUUUCUGAGAACCUAGAUCCCAUUUUUCUGUAGGGGGAAAGGUUACCAGAGACAUAAGAUUUAUGUCAGGAAUAGUCUUGUUUAUCUGGGGACUCUUAAAGACAGAAUGGAAUGCUGGAAUUUCAAGCUGUGGGAGAGCUGUUUUGAUCUCAGGUAACUCGUACAAAGUGGUCUCCAUCAAACAAUCUCGUGAUAGUCUUAUUGACAAGGGCUACUUAGCUGCUUUUAAACUGAGUAAAUCACAAUUUAAAAUCUGUUGCACAGAGGGAAACAUUACUGUGACUCAUUUUUCCUUGAAGGUGGAUAAGUGUCAGCUCAUGCAUUUUUAGGGAGCUCACAUUUCUGCGUAGAUGUGUCUAUUUUGCAAUUUAAAUAUUUCAUUUAUGUGACUGAUAUUAAAAGGCUGCAGUACUCUAACGCCACUGGAUGUGUGAGACCCCUAGACUUUGGUUAAUAAUGUAUAACAUUCACAGUACCUGGAAGUUAUUUUCUUGAAGCCUAAAUUUUGAAAGAAAGCAUAUCACUUUGCCAGGGACUCUUUCUGACUCUUCACACAUCAAAGCAUUCCAGUGAAGAAAAAAAAAUACCUAAGUGUUGUCUAAAUUAGACCAACAACUAUAUAGACACAAGUUCUAGACAACUGGGACACACUGGGAUGACUGUCCCAGUUGUUAAUGUAUUGAAAUACUUUCCUAUUGGUUGGUGAAGAGAUGUUGCUCUGAGCUCCACAAGCCCGCCUACCCGCAACCGCAGUCACCUCUGUCCACCCCCCAGAACCCCAAACACCCCUCCUUGACCCAGCAAAUAGAGAGCUAUUGUUCAUCUCAGCAGGGUGCCCUCAGGAGCUACCCCAAUACUCUGGUAAGUCUUUAGUCUCGUGCCUGGAGUAUAUAUAGCCAUUAAAUAGUUUUAAUAUCUCUCCUGCACACAGAUGAAAUGGAAAGGGGGCUGGCAUGGAAGGUGGGAGAUUUAAGUUGCAGUCCUUGCUUAGUCUGAGUCUCAGUUCCCCCAUUUAUGAAAUGGGGGGGGGGGGUUGGACAAGAUUAUAUCUAAUGACCCUUUGAGUUCUCUUCUGGGAUUCUAUGAUUUAGAAACAUCUGAAUGUUUUCCAUUUUCAUCUUGGAAGUCUGGUGUCUUGCAGAAGGAAAAGAAUGGCUAAAAGGAGUUGCAUAGCUUGUUCUUUAGAACAAGCUAUGAGGAAGGGGAAUUGAGCUGAUUAGGUAACUCGUACAAAGUGGUCUCCAUCAACCAAUCUCGUGAUAGUCUUUUAAGGCUGGCCAAGCAGUGGGACUUGUCAAGAAAGAAAGGCAGUGGAAACACAACAGGGAACGCUGUAGAAAAUCCCUGCAUAACCAUGCUGAGAAAAGCAUUUGCAAUUCUGAUUCUGAAGCCUCUCGAAAAAUUCAUAUUGGCUCUGGAAAGUGCUCAGAGAAUGACAGCUAAAACGGCUGGAAAAACAGGGGGUCUCUCUGUUGGAAGGCAGAUGAAAAGAUUUCAUAUUCUUCUACCUGGAAGGCAAGGUCG
Equus caballus (horse) is the source of this 1862-nucleotide long non-coding RNA. The record is from Ensembl. NCBI's taxonomy places the organism in Eukaryota, Metazoa, Chordata, Mammalia, Perissodactyla, Equidae.